GUAAAGUUUAACUUUGCACCCGAAUAAGGUGAAUAGGUUUAUUAUCGGUUUAUUAUUCUAACUUGAUCUUUUUAUGGUGUUAAUUUUAUAGUUAACWUUWGGAUAGUGAUCCUCCCUUUUUUUUAAUUUUUUUUUUUUACUCUAAAAAGGUUGUAGAGUGGGAAGUAAUAAAGUCAGCCAUGAUAAAUUAUUUGAAAUUGGUGGCACAAAAUCGGAGGCCUCGACUGUUUUCUAAAAACACAAKAAUGUGCAAUGAUAAAAAUCAUAGUAUACGUUAUGAAAUUUGCUCGAYGCCAUUAANAUAAAAGAGGUAAUAGGAAACUGUUACUAAUUGAAAAUCUGGUUAAUAGCGGUCUUAACUAUGAGGAUCCUAAGGUAGCGAAAUCAAUUGGCCAUUAAAUGUGGUCCGGUAUCAAUAAUGUAACGAAGGUCUCACUGUCUCUACAACUUG
This 451-nucleotide ribosomal RNA is filed under the name uncultured fungus. RNAcentral's name for it is "partial large subunit ribosomal RNA". The stretch from base 144 to 451 matches the Rfam family "Bacterial large subunit ribosomal RNA", at positions 1695 to 2031 of the family's 2925-position model. The record is from RNAcentral. Lineage: Eukaryota; Fungi.